RNAcentral lists this transfer RNA (71 nucleotides) under Hyperionvirus sp. RNAcentral's name for it is "tRNA-Gln". The record is from RNAcentral. Lineage: Varidnaviria; Bamfordvirae; Nucleocytoviricota; Megaviricetes; Imitervirales; Mimiviridae.
CGCACCCAGUUGGAAUUUAACCAACAACCAAUGCUUCAAAGGCAUUUAUUAUAACAUUUAACUAUGGAUGC